Molecule: ribosomal RNA, 496 nt
Filed under: uncultured bacterium
Lineage: Bacteria
Description: partial 16S ribosomal RNA
Rfam family: Bacterial small subunit ribosomal RNA
Source: RNAcentral
GAUGAACGCUGGCGGCGUGCCUAAUACAUGCAAGUCGAGCGAACAGACGAGGAGCUUGCUCCUCUGACGUUAGCGGCGGACGGGUGAGUAACACGUGGAUAACCUACCUAUAAGACUGGGAUAACUUCGGGAAACCGGAGCUAAUACCGGAUAACAUGUUGAACCGCAUGGUUCAACAGUGAAAGACGGUUUUGCUGUCACUUAUAGAUGGAUCCGCGCCGCAUUAGCUAGUUGGUAAGGUAACGGCUUACCAAGGCAACGAUGCGUAGCCGACCUGAGAGGGGGAUCGGCCACACUGGAACUGAGACACGGUCCAGACUCCUACGGGAGGCAGCAGUAGGGAAUCUUCCGCAAUGGGCGAAAGCCUGACGGAGCAACGCCGCGUGAGUGAAGAAGGUCUUCGGAUCGUAAAACUCUGUUAUUAGGGAAGAACAAAUGUGUAAGUAACUAUGCACGUCUUGACGGUACCUAAGCAGAAAGCCACGGCUAACUACGU